AUCCAAAUGACGAGUCCCAAACAGGAGGAAACGAACAUUCUGGAU
Molecule: non-coding RNA, 45 nt
Organism: Schistosoma margrebowiei
Lineage: Eukaryota; Metazoa; Platyhelminthes; Trematoda; Strigeidida; Schistosomatidae
Source: Rfam